Molecule: ribosomal RNA, 776 nt
Filed under: uncultured Streptococcus sp.
Lineage: Bacteria; Bacillati; Bacillota; Bacilli; Lactobacillales; Streptococcaceae
Description: bacterial SSU rRNA
Rfam family: Bacterial small subunit ribosomal RNA
Source: RNAcentral
CUGUAACUGACGCUGAGGCUCGAAAGCGUGGGUAGCGAACAGGAUUAGAUACCCUGGUAGUCCACGCCGUAAACGAUGAGUGCUAGGUGUUGGGUCCUUUCCAGGACUCAGUGCCGUAGCAAACGCAUUAAGCACUCCGCCUGGGGAGUACGACCGCAAGGUUGAAACUCAAAGGAAUUGACGGGGGCCCGCACAAGCGGUGGAGCAUGUGGUUUAAUUCGAAGCAACGCGAAGAACCUUACCAGGUCUUGACAUCCCUCUGGCCGUCCUAGAGAUAGGACUUUCCUUCGGGACAGAGGAGACAGGUGGUGCAUGGUUGUCGUCAGCUCGUGUCGUGAGAUGUUGGGUUAAGUCCCGCAACGAGCGCAACCCUUAUUGUUAGUUGCCAUCAUUUAGUUGGGCACUCUAGCGAGACUGCCGGUAACAAACCGGAGGAAGGUGGGGAUGACGUCAAAUCAUCAUGCCCCUUAUGACCUGGGCUACACACGUGCUACAAUGGCUGGUACAACGAGUCGCAAGUCGGUGACGACAAGCUAAUCUCUUAAAGCCAGUCUCAGUUCGGAUUGUAGGCUGCAACUCGCCUACAUGAAGUCGGAAUCGCUAGUAAUCGCGGAUCAGCACGCCGCGGUGAAUACGUUCCCGGGCCUUGUACACACCGCCCGUCACACCACGAGAGUUUGUAACACCCGAAGUCGGUGAGGUAACCGUUAAGGAGCCAGCCGCCUAAGGUGGGAUAGAUGAUUGGGGUGAAGUCGUAACAAGGUAGCCGUAUCCUU